RNAcentral lists this ribosomal RNA (406 nucleotides) under Megophrys huangshanensis (Huangshan horned toad). Its description in RNAcentral is "partial 16S ribosomal RNA". It matches the Rfam family "Bacterial large subunit ribosomal RNA", at positions 1946 to 2518 of the family's 2925-position model. The record is from RNAcentral. Lineage: Eukaryota; Metazoa; Chordata; Amphibia; Anura; Megophryidae.
CCGCGCGAAGGUAGCGUAAUCACUUGUUUUUUAAUUAAAGACUAGUAUGAACGGCCGCACGAGGACCUAACUGUCUCCUUUGUCCAAUCAGUGAAACUGAUCUCCUCGUGCAGAAGCGAGGAUUUUACCAUAAGACGAGAAGACCCUAUGGAGCUUUAAACUUUUAUUAAUUAUUUUCUUUACCCCUCUAAGGAGCUAACAGCCAAUUUAAUUUAUUUAAUAAAAGUUUUGGGUUGGGGCGACCAUGGAGAAAAGAAAAUCCUCCCUGAUGAUAACCUAACCAAGAGCCACAGCUCUAAGUAUUAAGACACUUAACUCCUAUUGACCCAUUUUAUGAUCAACGAACCAAGUUACCCUAGGGAUAACAGCGCAAUCCAUUUCAAGAGUCCCUAUCGACAAAUGGGUU